RNAcentral lists this long non-coding RNA (309 nucleotides) under Physcomitrium patens. RNAcentral's name for it is "long non-coding RNA (PPAT_LNC010115)". The record is from RNAcentral. Lineage: Eukaryota; Viridiplantae; Streptophyta; Bryopsida; Funariales; Funariaceae.
AAGUUAAGGUUUGUAUCGCUGACUUGAGAUUUAUAUAAUAUAAUUAGAGCUAGCAUUUUUGACUAAUUCGUGCAAUUGAUGUCACAUCUAUAAUUUAAAAUUUGAUAAAAUUUAGUUAAUUGAGUUUAUUAAGUGUGUAUAAUUUUUUUUAUUAAUUUAAUGAUAUAAUUGAAAGAUAUCUAGAUUUGAGUACAAGAGGGUAUCAAAAGUUGGUAGUUUGAUGUUGGAUAGGGUUUCUAUGUUAUUUGAAGAUCUACUAGUUGGAUCAAGGUAAAAUUUGGCAUGGUAAUAGAAGACUUUAAGAUCAAG